Molecule: long non-coding RNA, 437 nt
Organism: Salvelinus sp. IW2-2015
Lineage: Eukaryota; Metazoa; Chordata; Actinopteri; Salmoniformes; Salmonidae
Source: RefSeq, a predicted model, not a curated record
CUAAAUCCAUUUUUCUUCUUCUUUCUAUCUAUCCACAGCACUGAGACAACAACCUGUCAGCCACUCAAGGCUGAUGAGAGGAAUGGCGAGGCAGCAGACACCACGUUGGACACAACCACAGACAGAAAUGGAUGCAUUAGAGACACGGGAAGACACAAACAUGGCAGCUAUCAUCGGACGCGGAGUGUGUUGUUUGAUAGCGAUCUUUCCCCUCGGCCGCACGCUUCCAAGGGGAAGAAGAAGAGGAGGAAAUCGGAGCGAAAGAGGAAGAGGGAAAGGUCUCCGUACUACAGUCUGUCUCCGGUGAGGAAGAAGAAAAAGAAGAAGAAGAAGAGCUCUAAGAAAAGCAAACGUCACAGGUACACCUCUAAAAAGACAAAGCACAGCUCUUCUAGUUUGAAGCAUAAGAGGAAGGAUGAUCGAAAACACAAGAAAAG